GGAUGCGAUCAUACCAGCACUAAAGCACCGGAUCCCAUCAGAACUCCGAAGUUAAGCAUGCUUGGGCGAGAGUAGUACUAGGAUGGGUGACCUCCUGGGAAGUCCUCGUGUUGCAUUCCC
RNAcentral lists this ribosomal RNA (120 nucleotides) under Thinopyrum intermedium. Lineage: Eukaryota; Viridiplantae; Streptophyta; Magnoliopsida; Poales; Poaceae. The record is from RNAcentral.